AUGGUCAUUGGACGUCUUGAACAGCUAAACUUAUUAUUGUAUUCUACUCGUUUGUGUUGCCUACUUGCAUCCAUGCUAUGUUGCUGCUUGGUGGUACAUUGUUCUUAUCGAUCGUCUCCGCUGGGUGUCGUGCGAGUUGCAGUAUGCAGCCGCUGCACUCAGGUGGUCUGGUUACAAGAUCUGGAGAAACUGUACAAGGUGGUCUUUAUUUCAUCCAAAUACACAUACGCACUGCGAUUCCAACUGUUCGCGUACGAACUCACUGUAGCAAACCUGUAUGCUAUGCUCCAUCAGGGUGCAGCUCCAGUGCCAUCUUCAGGUGGCCUCGGUGGAGAUGAUCUCCAGCUCCGCCCACCACAGGGGCGACACCUUGGGGGUGGCGGCGUCCGGCGGCAUGGCCGUGAUCUCCCUCAGCCGCCUCGCCACCUCUGCCAUGGCGGGUCGCCGCCUCGCCUCCCGGUCGGUGCAGGACCGAAUCACACCGUCCAGCCUGUUGACGGUCUCGGCAUGGAGGGGCGCGUUCCAGCUCAGGUCAGGGUCCAUCACGUCCCUCAGCUGCCUCUCCCCACGGAGGAAGCUCGCCGCCCAGCCCUCCAGCAGGCCGCCGGCCGACGCCGUGAACCUGCCGGACAUGAUCUCCAGCAGCACCAUGCCGUAGCUGUACACGACGCUCUCCCUGUCGGACAGCGCCAGGAGGGACUGCAGGCUCGCCAUCUCCGCCCUUGUCGACGAGGCGUCAUCGGAGCAGAAGAAGACGUCUGCGAUCUUGGCCGCGAAAUCGUCGGUCAGGUACACGGUGGACGUGUCGAGCGUCUUCAGGAUCUCCGGCGGGCUCAGCUGGUGCAUGUGCUCCAGGCAGUAGGCGAUCCCCACCGCCACCCGCAGCCGGGUCGGCCAGUCCAGGUGACCGUCUUCCCUCACUGCACAGCAAGCAACAACACCGUUAGUCAAUCUUCUGCAGCUCAUGAAAAUCAUCGUCUCUUAUGGAUGGAACUGGAUUAG
Molecule: ribosomal RNA, 1002 nt
Filed under: Triticum aestivum (bread wheat)
Lineage: Eukaryota; Viridiplantae; Streptophyta; Magnoliopsida; Poales; Poaceae
Description: partial small subunit ribosomal RNA
Source: RNAcentral